Molecule: ribosomal RNA, 456 nt
Filed under: Mycobacterium sp. FI02014
Lineage: Bacteria; Bacillati; Actinomycetota; Actinomycetes; Mycobacteriales; Mycobacteriaceae
Description: bacterial SSU rRNA
Rfam family: Bacterial small subunit ribosomal RNA
Source: RNAcentral
GCUGGCGGCGUGCUUAACACAUGCAAGUCGAACGGAAAGGCCCCUUCGGGGGUGCUCGAGUGGCGAACGGGUGAGUAACACGUGGGUGAUCUGCCCUGCACUUUGGGAUAAGCCUGGGAAACUGGGUCUAAUACCGAAUAGGACCAUGGGAUGCAUGUCUUGUGGUGGAAAGCUUUUGCGGUGUGGGAUGGGCCCGCGGCCUAUCAGCUUGUUGGUGGGGUGAUGGCCUACCAAGGCGACGACGGGUAGCCGGCCUGAGAGGGUGUCCGGCCACACUGGGACUGAGAUACGGCCCAGACUCCUACGGGAGGCAGCAGUGGGGAAUAUUGCACAAUGGGCGCAAGCCUGAUGCAGCGACGCCGCGUGGGGGAUGACGGCCUUCGGGUUGUAAACCCCUUUCAGUACCGACGAAGCGUAAGUGACGGUAGGUACAGAAGAAGCACCGGCCAACUACGU